Molecule: ribosomal RNA, 253 nt
Filed under: uncultured bacterium
Lineage: Bacteria
Description: partial 16S ribosomal RNA
Rfam family: Bacterial small subunit ribosomal RNA
Source: RNAcentral
UACGUAGGGGGCGAGCGUUAUCCGGAUUCACUGGGCGUAAAGGGAGCGCAGGCGGCACGGCAAGUCCGGUGUGAAAGCCCGGGGCCCAACCCCGGGACUGCACUGGAAACUGCCGGGCUGGAGUGUCGGAGGGGCAGGCGGAAUUCCUAGUGUAGCGGUGAAAUGCGUAGAUAUUAGGAGGAACACCGGUGGCGAAGGCGGCCUGCUGGACGACGACUGACGCUGAGGCUCGAAAGCGUGGGGAGCAAACAGG